UAAGGAAUAUUGGUCAAUGGAGGCAACUCUGAACCAGCCAUGCCGCGUGAAGGAUGACGGCCCUAUGGGUUGUAAACUUCUUUUCUACAGGAAUAAACCUUGGGACGUGUCCUGAGCUGAAGGUACUGUAGGAAUAAGGAUCGGCUAACUCCGUGCCAGCAGCCGCGGUAAUACGGAGGAUCCAAGCGUUAUCCGGAUUCAUUGGGUUUAAAGGGUGCGUAGGCGGAAUGAUAAGUCAGGGGUGAAAGCC
This 250-nucleotide ribosomal RNA is filed under the name uncultured bacterium. Its description in RNAcentral is "partial 16S ribosomal RNA". It matches the Rfam family "Bacterial small subunit ribosomal RNA", at positions 355 to 602 of the family's 1533-position model. The record is from RNAcentral.